Molecule: ribosomal RNA, 672 nt
Filed under: Inocybe cf. pseudoreducta EL24B07
Lineage: Eukaryota; Fungi; Basidiomycota; Agaricomycetes; Agaricales; Inocybaceae
Description: 16S ribosomal RNA
Rfam family: Bacterial small subunit ribosomal RNA
Source: RNAcentral
ACUUUGCGAUAGAUUUGAACUUAUCCAUAACAGAAAAUCACAAAAUCACAAAAUGUGCUUAUUGUGAUAACGUAAGGGAAAAAAAUGAUAUUACCUUACUAAAAGUGUUGUCUAAAUAACUGGUGCCAGAAGACUCGGUAACACCAGAAACGCGAACGUUAGUCGUCUUAAACAGGCGUAAAGGGUAAGUAGGCUGCUUUAAAAAUCUAUUUAAAAUAAGCUAAAAUUAAUAAAAAUUUUCAGGCCUUAAGUUAUAAAUACAGGCUAAUUUAAAAUGAAAAUAAGGUAUUUUAGUAUCGCAGUACUAAUAAUAUAAUUAUUUAAUGGAACAAAAAUAAAUAACUUAAAGCUAGAAUCAUAAUUGAGAUAAACCAAAUAAUACUUAUGUGUAAGGGCGAUAUCUGAAAAUACUAAGUAGAAUACUAACGGUGAAAACUUUUUAUCUGGUAAUGAUUGACGCUGAGGUACGANAGUGAGAACAGGGAAUACGAUUAGAUACCCAGUUACCUCUCACCGUCAGCGAUGAAUGGUAGUUGUGAGUCUAAUUAUAUUAGUGACGAUGUUAACGCGAUACCAUNCCGCCUUGAGAGUACAGUUGCAAAACUGAAACCUAAAAAAGUUAGUCGGUCUCGGAGCCAAACGGAGUGANGCAUGGUACUUUAGUUCGAUAUC